UCAGACCUCACCGAAAGCUACAUUAGACACCUGGUGCUGUUUGGCAAGGCAAUCAGGUGACAUGGCUUACCCUUUCGCUUGAAAGUGUGCAACCACAAACAGCAGAGUUGACGUUUAUAGAUAAUCCCAAGCAUAUACAAUAAUCUGUUAUCAUUAAGGGCCCGAAAAUGAAGGCUGAGUAGUCUUGACAGACAAGUUGACGUUAGCACGGUAGCUGCUAUCUGACAACAGCAGGUGUUAUCAUCGUUAUAAGUGUUAUUAAUGGUAGUAGUACGACAAAGGUGCACAACCAUCACAUCACAUUUAUCAAGUUUGUGUCUCUUUUGUCCAAAUUAGACGCAAAAACGAUCGUAUCCCUUAGCAAAACCACCUUACACUAACCAUAGCUUUAGCAUGCUGCGUGGCUAACGUUAGCUUGCCAGACUUGGAUUAUAGAUUCUGAUAGUGUCAGCUCAUAUAAUUAUGUCGUAAUCUUCAAGUAGUAAUCUUCAAGUUGGCAUAGUUUAUUCCCAGUUAGACUGAUAAGUCGUAUAUAAUGUUUGGGCUCUUUGUACAAGACGUCAACAUAACACUAGCUUCCCGUUGAGUUAGCAUCCCAAUUAGCCCACUCUUGACAACACAAACUAGCCAAAACAGCUCCGCCAUUGCCGUACGAGCAUUUCGACGUUUCUCGGCGACACUGCUUUUAUGCGGCGGCUCUAAAAAAAAAUACUCGCAAAGCACAUCAACUCACCAGAAAUGAAGCUUUAAGACGUUAGAGUUGAGCUAUUCAGAGAAGGUGUUUUUACGGGUUAUCCUGGCUUCAAGUAGGAGCUGCCUUAUCCAAGAUGGCGGCUCGCCGCACAGGGUUUCCUCAGCUUUGUACAAUGGAGUUAAGGGACAAAGAGCAUCUCUUACAUGGAGACAACCUCACCUGGACAGCCACAUCCUCAGUAACAGGAGGCUGCCCAGUGCGCAGGCGUACUGUAGUAGUGCAUGUGGUUGCCGGGAGGGGGCGCUGUUGCACAGAUCCGAGUCACAGCAGUGGAUGCGGACGCCAGGCAGCUCUUGUUGCUGGCAGUGUCUGGAUGUGGCACAGCCGCUGGUCAGGACGAUGCCCAGUGCAGCUGUGAGGAUGGAUGGAUGGACGGGUGGAGGAGACAGUAGGAGACUGAUGGCAGCAAGAAAAUGGAGCGCUGCAGCCAAGUGGAGACAGUGGAGCAUAAUACUACAAUCACUUUCAGACUUCUGACAGUUGGAGUCCUCAUUUUAUCCGAGAGUAGACUGAGGUCGACAAGACAACGCACUGCUGCAGCCAAGUGGAGCCUGUGGAGACUAACACUUUCCUGGGCUGAUUGUAUUCCAGAGGGUCAGCUGAUUGAAUACUUUGACAAGAUGUUUGUCACUCUGUGUGAUGUUGUCAGCCUUGUCGUCUUAGCCUGCAAAGGUGCCUCAUCAGCCCUUUGGGCCACGAGCGGCUCCUCCCGGACUUGUCAAGCGAGGGAACAUCUGGAUGCUCCACGCUUGUGUGCAUCAGCAGCUGACCAUCAGCGCCCUGGCUGAGGACAUCCACAUCCUUCGUUUGACUUCUCAUGGACUCGCCAGGGCGACUAAAAAAAACGGUGCUUGAAGCCCUUGUGUGAGUGGGUGCAGGUGAGCACCUCCGGGUUGGAGCAACCCACGUCCACGUAGCGCUGACCCUGGAUGAUGUUGCAGCCAUAGCACUGCAGACCCUCCACUGCACAAGACAAAAGACGAGGAUGACAAUGAGAGCCCGCUCCGGCGAGUGGUAAAGCCGUGAAAGAGAGCAAGGGAGUGAAGGAUGGAGAUUUGGAGGGGAAGAGGAGGUCCAGCGGUGAUGAUGAAAGUGAGUCUUUCCCCAAGCUGCUCCUGACUUAUCUUGACACACAAUAGCGACUUUACAUUUCAGUUCUCAGUCCAGACUGACAGGAGGGAGGCUUUAAAUUCUUGAUGAAAUUGCAAUUAAGACACCAAGCAAAAGAAAGAAGUGAAGCCGGCGGCGGCGGCAUGGAAGCCACGACAAAAGAAAGAAACAAGGAUGUGUGGAGGAAAUACAUGAAAAGUUAAUUUUGCUCUUUGGGCUUUUUUUUUUCUUUCUCCCUCUGUCAUCACAUAUAACCUUCCACUAAAGAGUGGAGAGGCGAUGUACUUAAACAUGGACAUUCUCUUCUCAGUCAUUAGCAAUAAUGACCAGAAUAUUCUACAUGGAGGCCAAGUAAAAGCAAAAUGUUGAGGGCUUUAGCGGCUGAUUUCACCCUUGGGGAGGAUGCGGCUUUAAUUCUUUUAUCAUAUUAUGGCUUUAAUGCUGCCACUCGCUGCGCCGUUGAAGGCCUUUCAGCUGCAAAGGGCUGAAGGUUUCUACGUGCCUGUGCAGUUUUACACCAAAGAGAGCGGCAAAGCUGGAUUCUCCUUACGCAGCACAGGAGGAAGUGUUAGCCUUUUUUGCUUUAUUGCCUUUUAAUCAUCUUUUUUGCUCCCACAUCCAGCAAAUCGUUCAUUUUCUUGUUUGCAGCUUUAUUGGUACUAUAUUACUUAAUACUCCCUCGGGUACCCAAUUCUACAUUGUGGCCAUCUAGGAGCGUGCAUUUUAAUUAUUCUUGUUAUAUGGAACAGUUUUUGGCCCUCUGUAUUGACUUGUAGACUUUAUAAGCUUUCCAGUUCUUUCAGAAUCUGCACCUAUUCAGCUGUAUUUCUUUGGAUUUCGUGGUUCCGGCAAAAACGCUCUGUUUUAAAGUAUUCCACAUUUACGAGUGCCAGACUUCCAUUUUGUGCCGCUAGCAGCGAACGGUAUAGGAGUUGAUAAUAAAUGGCGAUGUAUCUUUUUUUAAAAUGUAAGGUUUUAACAUACAGACAUAUGUGUUUGAUUCCGAAUCUGAUCCAGAAGUAGAGCCUGGACAGUCUGAUGUUUCUCAAGACGUCUCUCAAUGCUAAGUAGUUUUAGCAUGUUAGCAUCACAACAACUAAUAUGGCCACUAAUUGGCUAUUAAUUGGCUAUUAGCAACCCCGCUCCCUGUAUGCACACUCUAUAUUGCUACACAGACAAGCGAUUUUGAUUCAUGACUUACACAAAAUAAACGCAUU
Doryrhamphus excisus (bluestripe pipefish) is the source of this 3081-nucleotide non-coding RNA. Lineage: Eukaryota; Metazoa; Chordata; Actinopteri; Syngnathiformes; Syngnathidae. The record is from RefSeq and is a predicted model, not a curated record.